UACGGAGGGUGCAAGCGUUAUCCGGAUUCACUGGGUUUAAAGGGUGUGUAGGCGGGUGUUUAAGUCAGUGGUGAAAUCUCCGGGCUCAACCCGGAAACUGCCAUUGAUACUAUUCAUCUUGAAUACUGUUGAGGUAGGCGGAAUAUAUCAUGUAGCGGUGAAAUGCAUAGAUAUGAUAUAGAACACCGAUUGCGAAGGCAGCUUACUAAACAGUUAUUGACGCUGAGGCACGAAAGCGUGGGGAUCAAACAGG
Molecule: ribosomal RNA, 253 nt
Filed under: uncultured bacterium
Lineage: Bacteria
Description: partial 16S ribosomal RNA
Rfam family: Bacterial small subunit ribosomal RNA
Source: RNAcentral